Molecule: ribosomal RNA, 530 nt
Filed under: uncultured bacterium
Lineage: Bacteria
Description: bacterial SSU rRNA
Rfam family: Bacterial small subunit ribosomal RNA
Source: RNAcentral
GAUGAACGCUAGCGACAGGCUUAACACAUGCAAGUCGAGGGGCAACGGGACGUAGCAAUACGUUGCCGGCGACCGGCGGAUGGGUGAGUAACGCGUAUGCAACCUACCCACGACAGGGGGAUAGCCCGUUGAAAGACGGAUUAAUACCCCAUAAAAACAGGGGUUCCGCAUGGGACUAUUUGUUAAAGGGUUCUCCGCGAGGGGGACAUCGGUUGUGGAUGGGCAUGCGUUCCAUUAGGCAGUUGGUGAGGUAACGGCUCACCAAACCGACGAUGGAUAGGGGAACCGAGAGGUUGGUCCCCCACACUGGUACUGAGAUACGGACCAGACUCCUACGGGAGGCAGCAGUGAGGAAUUUUGGUCAAAUGGACGAAGUCUGAACCAGCCAAGUCGCGUGAAGGAGGCGGCCCUAAGGUUGUAAACUUCUUUUGUAAGGGAAUAAAGUGACGUUACGUGUAGUGCAUUGCAAGUACCUUACGAAUAAGGAUCGGCUAACUCCGUGCCAGCAGCCGACGGUAAAAGUCACGUCG